CAGUGAGUCUUUGUCUCAAAAAAAAAAAAAUUUUUACGAUAAAAUGCAUCAAUCUUAAGGGUUGAGAUUGACAAGUUUAGGUGACUGUACACACCUGACCAUCACCCGUCACACAGAACAUCCCGUCACACGGAACAUCUCACCUGUCACACAGAACAUCCCUUCACCCCUCACACGGAACAUCCUGUCACCUGCUGACAUGGAACAUCCAAUCACCCGUCACACGGAACAUCCCAUCACACAGAACAUCCCAUCACUUGUCACAUCUCACCCAUCACACGGAACAUCCCAUCACCCGCUGACACGGAACAUCCGAUCACCCGUCACACGGAACAUCCCAUCACCCAUCACAUCUCACCCGUCACAUGGAACAUCCCUUCACCCAUCACAUGGAACAUCUCACCCGUCACACGGAACAUCCCAUCACCUGUCACACGGAACAUCCCGCCACCCGUCACACGGAACAUCCCGUAACCCAUCACAUGGAACAUCCCGUCACCUGUCACACGGAACAUCCCAUCAUCCGUCACAUGGAACAUCUCACCAAUCACACAGAACAUCUCACCCAUCACAUGGAACAUCCCGCCACCCGUCACACGGAACAUCCCGUAACCCAUCACAUGGAACAUCCCGUCACCUGUCACACGGAACAUCCCAUCAUCCAUCACAUGGAACAUCUCACCAAUCACACAGAACAUCUCACCCAUCACAUGGAACAUCCCGUCACCCGCUGACACGGAACAUCCGAUCACCCAUCACAUGGAACAUCUCACCCAUCACACGGAACAUCCCGCCACCCGUCACACGGAACAUCCCGUAACCCAUCACAUGGAACAUCCCGUCACCUGUCACACGGAACAUCCCAUCAUCCGUCACAUGGAACAUCUCACCAAU
This 894-nucleotide long non-coding RNA is filed under the name Pan troglodytes (chimpanzee). RNAcentral's name for it is "long non-coding RNA NONPTRT006142". Lineage: Eukaryota; Metazoa; Chordata; Mammalia; Primates; Hominidae. The record is from RNAcentral.